This 240-nucleotide ribosomal RNA is filed under the name uncultured bacterium. Its description in RNAcentral is "partial 16S ribosomal RNA". It matches the Rfam family "Bacterial small subunit ribosomal RNA", at positions 96 to 334 of the family's 1533-position model. The record is from RNAcentral.
UGGCGAACGGGUGAGUAACGCGUGAGGAACCUGCCUCAAAGAAGGGGACAACAGUUGGAAACGACUGCUAAUACCGCAUAAGCCCACGACCCGGCAUCGGGAAGAGGGAAAAGGAGCAAUCCGCUUUGAGAUGGCCUCGCGUCCGAUUAGCUAGUUGGUGAGGUAACGGCCCACCAAGGCAACGAUCGGUAGCCGGACUGAGAGGUUGAACGGCCACAUUGGGACUGAGACACGGCCCAG